Molecule: unclassified non-coding RNA, 250 nt
Filed under: plant metagenome
Description: partial contains small subunit ribosomal RNA, internal transcribed spacer 1, and 5.8S ribosomal RNA
Source: RNAcentral
GUAGGUGAACCUGCGGAAGGAUCAUUAACUUAAUUUAUGAAUGUGUAUUUUCUGUUUGCAUGCAAAUGUCGAUGGUUGAUAUGCGUUUAUUUAUCAAAACCAAAAUUUACAAUCCGUGAAACUAAAAAACAAAACACGAACGUGGAGUGCAGCCUCGAUAGCAAUAUCGCCUGUGCUUCAUUUGAGUACCAAUUCCACCAAACAAUUUUUAACUUUAUUAACCCCAUUACCGUAGUGAAUGUUUUCGAAU